CGGAUUCUAACGGACAUGCAUUCGAAAUACACUACCUAAUAAUCAAGCUAAAGCAAACCAAAUAUUAUAGACUACAGCUAUACAUUCGAAAUUGACAAGAACAGAUAUAUGAUAUAAAGUUCAUUUGAAAGUUCACAAAUUAGAUCAUUACAAGAACUGUCCAGUUAUACAUCCCGCAAGCAUUUACAUGAUAUUAAUGAAUGAGAUAUCCUAAUAUACAAGUCAGUAGAAAAGCUAGAUCAAACUUAAAGCUUCAAAUCUUCAUGUAUAUCCAUGCUUAUAUUUUCAGCUUACAAAUGACCAAGGUUACAGCUGUGUACCUGGAAAUGGCAAUACAAGAAGAAGAGAAGGAGGUCAGCAACGGGUAACAAUUCUAGCAAUCAACAACAACUUAACAACAGCAAGUCACCCAAGUUUGAAGCCCAGAACAGUAUGAAAACCCAACAGAGUUGAAAGAUCAAACUCAAAACAAUGCCAAAACCCAAGAAUGAAUCAGGGACUGAAAUAUAAGUAGUCAGCUUAUCUAUCCACUAACGCGAACCCACAGACUCGAAGCAAAUAGAUUAAGGUAAUGCAUUCUAAUUCAAAACUGGGAUUCACGACAAUGAAGAAGGAACAGUAAUAGUAAACAGCAAAUAAGACAGCAGACUUAGAGUUCAAAUAGCCACGAACCCAACCCGUUCAGCCCAGAACACACUUGAGCACAGCAGUUGUAUUUGUUUCUUGUUACCCUCCCCCAGCUCUUAAGCUCUCUCUUUUUCUCUAAAGUCUGCCUCUAAGCACAACUAGACCAAACUCAAAACUUGAAAUAGAAUUGAUUUCCGCUCAAAACAAACCCCCCUCUCUCUGUCCAGAAAACCUCUCCCCCAAAAGAGUCCUCCUACAAUGACUAAACCUUGCUCUAUUUAUAACCAAAAAACAGACCCUUCCCCUUCUCAAAAGCAAUUAAACUAAUACCACCACCAUCCUUUUGCCCAUGAUAUUCUCUUAUAGCCCAUUAUCAUGUGUU
This 1009-nucleotide long non-coding RNA is filed under the name Nicotiana tabacum (common tobacco). RNAcentral's name for it is "long non-coding RNA (NTAB_LNC011865)". Lineage: Eukaryota; Viridiplantae; Streptophyta; Magnoliopsida; Solanales; Solanaceae. The record is from RNAcentral.